CAAGUGGCGGGCUGCCUUAUACAUGCAAGUCGAACGAACUCUGGUAUUGAUUGGUGCUUGCAUCAUGAUUUACAUUUGAGUGAGUGGCGAACUGGUGAGUAACACGUGGGAAACCUGCCCAGAAGCGGGGGAUAACACCUGGAAACAGAUGCUAAUACCGCAUAACAACUUGGACCGCAUGGUCCGAGCUUGAAAGAUGGCUUCGGCUAUCACUUUUGGAUGGUCCCGCGGCGUAUUAGCUAGAUGGUGGGGUAACGGCUCACCAUGGCAAUGAUACGUAGCCGACCUGAGAGGGUAAUCGGCCACAUUGGGACUGAGACACGGCCCAAACUCCUACGGGAGGCAGCAGUAGGGAAUCUUCCACAAUGGACGAAAGUCUGAUGGAGCAACGCCGCGUGAGUGAAGAAGGGUUUCGGCUCGUAAAACUCUGUUGUUAAAGAAGAACAUAUCUGAGAGUAACUGUUCAGGUAUUGACGGUAUUUAACCAGAAAGCCACGGCUAACUACGUGCCAGCAGCCGCGGUAAUACGUAGGUGGCAAGCGUUGUCCGGAUUUAUUGGGCGUAAAGCGAGCGCAGGCGGUUUUUUAAGUCUGAUGUGAAAGCCUUCGGCUCAACCGAAGAAGUGCAUCGGAAACUGGGAAACUUGAGUGCAGAAGAGGACAGUGGAACUCCAUGUGUAGCGGUGAAAUGCGUAGAUAUAUGGAAGAACACCAGUGGCGAAGGCGGCUGUCUGGUCUGUAACUGACGCUGAGGCUCGAAAGUAUGGGUAGCAAACAGGAUUAGAUACCCUGGUAGUCCAUACCGUAAACGAUGAAUGCUAAGUGUUGGAGGGUUUCCGCCCUUCAGUGCUGCAGCUAACGCAUUAAGCAUUCCGCCUGGGGAGUACGGCCGCAAGGCUGAAACUCAAAGGAAUUGACGGGGGCCCGCACAAGCGGUGGAGCAUGUGGUUUAAUUCGAAGCUACGCGAAGAACCUUACCAGGUCUUGACAUACUAUGCAAAUCUAAGAGAUUAGACGUUCCCUUCGGGGACAUGGAUACAGGUGGUGCAUGGUUGUCGUCAGCUCGUGUCGUGAGAUGUUGGGUUAAGUCCCGCAACGAGCGCAACCCUUAUUAUCAGUUGCCAGCAUUAAGUUGGGCACUCUGGUGAGACUGCCGGUGACAAACCGGAGGAAGGUGGGGAUGACGUCAAAUCAUCAUGCCCCUUAUGACCUGGGCUACACACGUGCUACAAUGGAUGGUACAACGAGUUGCGAACUCGCGAGAGUAAGCUAAUCUCUUAAAGCCAUUCUCAGUUCGGAUUGUAGGCUGCAACUCGCCUACAUGAAGUCGGAAUCGCUAGUAAUCGCGGAUCAGCAUGCCGCGGUGAAUACGUUCCCGGGCCUUGUACACACCGCCCGUCACACCAUGAGAGUUUGUAACACCCAAAGUCGGUGGGGUAACCUUUUAGGAACCAGCCGCCUAAAGUGAACAGAAUG
This 1475-nucleotide ribosomal RNA is filed under the name Lactiplantibacillus plantarum. RNAcentral's name for it is "bacterial SSU rRNA". It matches the Rfam family "Bacterial small subunit ribosomal RNA". The record is from RNAcentral. Lineage: Bacteria; Bacillati; Bacillota; Bacilli; Lactobacillales; Lactobacillaceae.